Molecule: ribosomal RNA, 460 nt
Filed under: uncultured bacterium
Lineage: Bacteria
Description: partial 16S ribosomal RNA
Rfam family: Bacterial small subunit ribosomal RNA
Source: RNAcentral
CCUACGGGAGGCAGCAGUGAGGAAUAUUGGUCAAUGGACGAGAGUCUGAACCAGCCAAGUAGCGUGAAGGAUGACUGCCCUAUGGGUUGUAAACUUCUUUUAUAUGGGAAUAAAAUGUUCCACGUGUGGGAUUUUGUAUGUACCAUAUGAAUAAGGAUCGGCUAACACCGUGCCAGCAGCCGCGGUAAUACGGAGGAUCCGAGCGUUAUCCGGAUUGAUUGGGUUUAAAGGGAGCGUAGGAGGAUUGUUAAGUCAGUUGUGAAAGUUUGCGGCUCAACCGUAAAAUUGCAGUUGAAACUGGCAGUCUUGAGUACAGUAGAGGUGGGCGGAAUUCGUGGUGUAGCGGUGAAAUGCUUAGAUAUCACGAAGAACUCCGAUUGCGAAGGCAGCUCACUGGACUGCAACUGACACUGAGGCUCGAAAGUGUGGGUAUCAAACAGGAUUAGAUACCCUGGUAGUC